AGCAGCGUGGCUCAGUGGGAAAGAGCCCGGGCUUGGGAGUCAGAGGUCACGGGUUCGAAUCCCGGCUCUGCCA
This is a non-coding RNA of Ornithorhynchus anatinus (platypus), 73 nucleotides long. NCBI's taxonomy places the organism in Eukaryota, Metazoa, Chordata, Mammalia, Monotremata, Ornithorhynchidae. The record is from Rfam.